RNAcentral lists this ribosomal RNA (253 nucleotides) under uncultured bacterium. RNAcentral's name for it is "partial 16S ribosomal RNA". It matches the Rfam family "Bacterial small subunit ribosomal RNA", at positions 524 to 776 of the family's 1533-position model. The record is from RNAcentral.
UACAGAGGUGGCAAGCGUUGUUCGGAAUUACUGGGCGUAAAGGGCGCGUAGGCGGCCUCCUCAGUCAGACGUGAAAUCCCCGGGCUUAACUCGGGAACUGCGUCUGAUACUGGAAGGCUGGAGUUCGGGAGAGGGAUGUGGAAUUCCAGGUGUAGCGGUGAAAUGCGUAGAUAUCUGGAGGAACACCGGUGGCGAAGGCGGCAUCCUGGACCGAAACUGACGCUGAGGCGCGAAAGCCAGGGGAGCAAACGGG